This 2147-nucleotide long non-coding RNA is filed under the name Naja naja (Indian cobra). Its description in RNAcentral is "lncRNA (ENSNNAG00000004471.1)". The record is from RNAcentral. Lineage: Eukaryota; Metazoa; Chordata; Lepidosauria; Squamata; Elapidae.
GGAAGAUCUUCGUUGGUUUUUAUUUGAUGCUGCUGAAAAUACCUUUUAACUCAAAGAUGAGGACUUUGACACAUAAAGGUUAUUUGAAAGGAGGGAAAACUCCCAAAGCAUCCACUGUUCUCGCUAUUGCUAUGGAAGAAAAACUACUUGGACCAGGCUUGGAGGAAUAAAAACGUUAGAUCAAGCAGCAUCAGACAGAAAGAAGUCUGGCAUUAAUGAACCAAUCAGCACAGGACAACUCGAAGCAAAGCAAGAUCAGAAGAUGCAGAGAGUUCCAGCCCAUAGAACGGCCAAGAGUUUGGCAUGACUGAAUGGAUAACAUCUUCAUGCUGUGCAAAGUAGACUGCAGCAGCAAUUACAGGGCAGCCUUCUGGUUUGGUUGAAUUCUUCUACCCCUGGAAGAUCCUAUGCAUCUCCUGACACUUGAGGACAUAUCUUGUUUGCUGUUCCGACCAGUUUCAGAUGAUGGGACAAGGUUCAAUGCUGUGAAUCUAAUCUGGUUCAAAAGCAGAAGCAGGCCUUUUGAAAGCCCAACCAGGAAGACAGCAGUGGCAGCUCAGGUCUUGAAAUGGUGGGAGAAAUACUUCGAAACCCCUGUUUCUCAGGUUAUUUAAAAGGAAAAAUGCUGAAAGCAUCCACUGUUCUCAGUAUUGGUGUGGAAGAGAAGCUACUUGGACAGGCUUGGAGGAAAUGUUAGACCAAGCAGCAUCAGAUAGAAAGAAGUCUGGCAUUAAUGAACCAGCAGAGCAUAGAACAACUCAAAGCAAAGCAAGCUCAGAAGAUGCAGAGAGUCCUGGCCCAUAGAAUGGCCAAGAGUUAGGCAUGACUGAAUGGAUAACAUCAGUUCUUGUGCAGCGUAGACUGCAGCAGCAUUUAUAGUGUUGGUUAUAGCAGGGGUCUCCAAAGCUUUGUUGGCUGAGGAAUUCGGGGAGCUGAAGUCCACAAGUUGCCAAGGUUGGAGACCCCUGGGUUAUACCUGCGAUUGGUAUUUGUGUUGGUAACAGUACAAACUCUGAGUUAUUUGGUUUUUCUUAGUUUGCUAUGAGAACCUGUUCACUUUAGUUUGUAAAUGAUCAUGUAUUGUUGAAUAUUGAUGAACCUAAUAAUUUGAAUUCAGCCUAUCUAUGCUUUAACAAGCCCUGCUUAGCCACAUUUUUGGGGAUUCUGCUUGCAGCCGCUGCUGUGGCUGAGUGGGGCUUAAGAUGCUUAGAGGACCUAUUAAGAACAGGAGGAACAUAAUCUUGAACUCCUGCCUUUCUGAGCCCUUUUUAUACAGCAUGUUACUGGAAUUUGAUAAUUGGGUAUUUUCUGUUUUCCCCUCUUAAUAUUGUUUUAUGGCUUUGCAAACCUUUAUGUAUUUAUACACACAUGUAUUAAAGACCAGUACCAUUCAUUCUAUGUGCAAGUCUUCACGUUACUGAUUAGUUCAACUAUAAAUUGAUUUCUAACACCAUUACAGAAAUAGUUCUCCAAUGGUUUCACGAUCACUUAUUUGGACAAAGUUGAGAAUUAAUUUCUCCAACUGGCAUGUUACUACAUUUCUGUACAUUCUGACCAGCUUGCAGUAUUGGUAUUGAGCAGAAGUCUCCAAACUUGACAAGCUAUGCUGGCUGAGGAAUUCUGGGAGUUGACGUCCACAAGUCUUAAAGUUGCCAAGUUUGGGGACCCCUGGUAUUUAGGUUAAAGUAAAAAUUGGUAAAUCGCAUACUCUCAGUCUGGUGUGGCACCAUUUGAAGUAGCCUGAUGUUACUUUUCCCCCAGUGCUCUGAGUGUCAUAUUUUAUGGUUUGCGAUAGAGUAGCUAGAAGUUCACAUAUUAAUGGAUACUUCAAUUACUGGGGUUCCUGGCUUGCCACUUAGCAUUUGAGACUUCCUGUGAUCCAGCGGUUUCAAAGUGUGCUCUGAAACUUCUUAUGCCUCCUCUGUAUAAGCGUAGAGAGCAAAGUGCACAAUCUUUUUAAGAAUGAGGAAGUGAAUUUUUGGAAGUGAUUCUCGUGCCAUAUCAGUCAUCAGACGUUGGCAAUCAUGUUAGCAAUCCUAAUCAAUUGGAAGUGAUAGGAUCUGAUUAACUAUUUUUAACCUUCCUCCCAGAAUUAUAAGUCAGAUUCCUAAGCAUACUAAAAAGCAAAGACAUCACCCUGCCAGCAA